AAUUCUCCCACCUUUCGGUGCCAAAGGAUCAAGUUUUAUUUGUCCAGUCCUACUAGAUAUCCGUUUCGCAACCUCUGUUCUGGUUCUAUCUUGUUUUAAAUUUGUUUAUGAUGGCAACAAAAUAUCUUCCAUUAGUCAGGUCUUUUAAGAAAUUUCAUUGACUUGUCUUAAUGAGAAAAAGUAUCAUUUUUUUUAGUUUGCAUAAUCUUCGUAGCUCAAACCAAUUAUUGCCCUGGCAUUCUCAUUUUGUCUUAAAGGUAUAUCUCUAUGUCAUCAUUUUCACAUAAAUAGAAAGAAACAGCACUAAAAUAGCUUUUCUUAAAUGUUUUAUCAGGCAUCUGGUCUUGCCAGCCAACACCUGUUUUCAAAAUCCUGAUGACACAUCUCUCUCUCUCUCUCUCUCUCUCUCUCUCUCUCUCUCUCUCUCUCUCUCUCUCUCUGUUUUUUUUCUUUUUCUUUUUGCUCUAUGCCUUUCUCUGUAGUCCUUAAGAAAAUAAACCUAAAGGAUUGAAAAGAGAAAAAACCAAAGUGUCAGGAAAGCCCAAUGUGUGGAUCUCUGGACUCGUGCAUGCACCAUGCGGGGUUUCAGGUGUCAAUACCAGCACCAGUGAUCAACAUGCUUCUGCAAAAACUGCGGGUUCAGCGAUGUCUACCUUCCCAGAAGACCAAAUGAGACACAGACAGGUUGAAAGCAAAGUUAGAGGUUUAUUUCUCAGUGGCCAGAGAGGAUACCAGUGAAGACAGCACUUCAGAGACCUGAAAUCCCACAACUGCAAAUACAGAACCUAUAUAUUAUAUUUUGACAGCUAUUCAAGACACCCACGUUUGCUUCUGAUUGGUUUAGAAUCCAACUAGGAUCCGCUUUGUGGUUAGUCCCAGAUUCCCUCUGAUAUCAUUGCUGGUUGAUCUCCACAAGAACCAUAAAUAAUUUUUAUUGUAUCAUUUUGAAAUUUGUGUCUAUUUAUUGAUCUGGCCGUGAGCAGGAUAUGCGCAGGGAAGAAUGCAAUGGGGCAAGUGAUAAUGGGCUGAAAUGGGUCUUAAUAUUCCAGCUCUUAUAAAUACAAUAAUGUCAGUCCAAAUAAACAAAAGGUGCCUGGGAGGAGAGAAGAGUCCUGUGUAGACAUUGUCCAGGAUCCCACAUUUGCAAAAACAUUAUAGUUCUCCAUAAUGAUUUUUUUUUUUUUGCUGAAGAUUGUUUCACCUUUCACUGAAAUAUUGCUUCCCAUCCACAUCCCAAAAUAGCAAAAAAAUUACUUUUGCAUGUGACUUGAAGUGACCUAAAUAUAUCUGUUAUUUCCUGGAAAAUGGAAAAGAAAUUAGUGAAUCCACAAGUAAGUUAAUUCUGUGUCACCUAUUUAACUAUGUAGCUACAUUGGUUACAUAGCUCCCAAACUCAUUCCUUUCCCCAUUGUUGCUCUACUUGGCAUCAGCCAGGAGUCUGUCCCCCUCGCAACCAGCAGCUGAGUUUUCCACUCCUUCCCAUUAGCCAUUUCUAAGGCAGAAGACCAGGUCCUUGUGGCAUUCCCAUUCAUGGCAGAGAUCACUUGCAUGUGGGAGGUGGAUGGGAACAUCAGUCAUCUGCUUCACAAUUAACAGAGUAACAGAUCCCUGUUGCUUGCAGCAGCUGCUUCUUGGUAAGUAAAGUUUGGAGAACUUUCACAGUCGCUACAUAUGCCUUAAAGAUCAUGAAUACAAAUCAGUCAUGAAUACAUAACUUUAGGAUACCAAUUUGUAACUGCCUUACUAAAUUCCAGCUCAGUACUUUGUAUUCUCUCUCUCUUUAACAACUAUACAGGUGCCAUUAGAAAAUGUGUUUUGUUCAAUUCUGAACAAUGCCAGCAUGCUCUUAGGUAUAUUUAAAUUGUCAGAAGUUGCCCUCCUACCUACUGCAUACCUUUUAAGUCCACUGUGGAGCAAGCCUGCACAGCAGUAAGAAACAAAAUCAUUUGACUUAUUUUUGGCAUCCAUUGUUGUCUUCUGUAACAUAUUUAUGAUUUUAUUUUCUUUUGUUCUGCUUUGUGGGUGCACCAAGACAUGGAUGAGAUUAUAACUAAUUAAUCUUCCAACAUGCCUUUAGAAACUGGGAUAGAAAAUGUUACACAAGCUUUUUAUUAGUAUUUGGCACAACCUCCAGGGUAGUUAUUUCAGGCUCAUUAAUUUGUGGUCUAAUCUGAAAUUUCUAUGGACAAUUUGAAAGAGUAUCGAAGUAACUACAAGCCCUUUGUCAUUACCCUCUGUUUUUUGGAAACAAAGAAGCAAGGACAAAGCAAGACGAUUAAAACAUUAGCACUGCAGUGUUGAAGAAAACCCAAAUGUGGAACAGAUAACAUUGCUUUUGACAAAAGUAAUUUGAAUCAAAAAGAGAUAAAGGGCGAGCAUUAAAUAGUUUUACAUGAAAUCUAAUGGCAUUCAAACAAUUCUACUGAUUCAAGGCACUGGUGCAUUAGUUCAAUUAUUCAUAAUUUCUCAAAUAUAACUUCAGCAGCAUGAUUACAAACAGAAUAGAAAAGGUAUUCCUUCAGAGAGUUAAAGGUGAUACAACUAAUUUGUUGUUUUCCAUGUUCUGAAUACUAAUCCUGAAUAUGUGUGUAUAGCCCAAAUCAGACCAAUAUUGGAUAGUACACAUUGAAAUUCACAGGCAAAAGAAAAAA
Molecule: long non-coding RNA, 2651 nt
Organism: Anolis carolinensis (green anole)
Lineage: Eukaryota; Metazoa; Chordata; Lepidosauria; Squamata; Anolidae
Source: Ensembl